AUGGACGGACGGACGACGACUCGGGGCGGGGGGGCUUGUCCCCGGACUAAUCCAUGGCGAUGUGUCGAUGGCAAUGCGAAAGCUCUCCUGGCAUCUCAUCUCUGCACACGAAAGAAGCAACAAUUUCACUCGUCAGAACACAAAUUCAAGCAAGAUGUAUAUCAGAUUGAACGGCAGAACAGUGCUACUCUACUUACACCAGGGGAGGAUCUUCCAGCGCUGGUUGUCGCCCUCGCACCACUUCCAGAGCACGACCUCGGUGCCGUCGUGGACGCCGCCGUGGGCCUUGUCGCCGUGGAAGGCGUCGAAGUUGAGGUAGAUGUUGUUCACCAUGCGGACGCAGCGGAAGCCCUUGCCCACGUCCCUGCUCUCCGUCCAUAG
This 381-nucleotide ribosomal RNA is filed under the name Triticum aestivum (bread wheat). RNAcentral's name for it is "partial small subunit ribosomal RNA". Lineage: Eukaryota; Viridiplantae; Streptophyta; Magnoliopsida; Poales; Poaceae. The record is from RNAcentral.